GCACUUGAGCAGGGAAGAAAUCCACAAGGACUCACCAGUCUCCUGGUCUGCAGAGAAGACAGAAUCAACAUGAGCACAGCAGGAAAAGUAAUCAAAUGCAAAGCAGCUGUGCUAUGGGAGUUAAAGAAACCCUUUUCCAUUGAGGAGGUGGAGGUUGCACCUCCUAAGGCCCAUGAAGUUCGUAUUAAGAUGGUGGCUGUAGGAAUCUGUGGCACAGAUGACCACGUGGUUAGUGGUACCAUGGUGACCCCACUUCCUGUGAUUUUAGGCCAUGAGGCAGCCGGCAUCGUGGAGAGUGUUGGAGAAGGGGUGACUACAGUCAAACCAGGUACAGGAUUCACACUCAGGAAACACGAUGGUUCACCAUCCUAAGAUUUCCCAGCCUGAAUGAGGAAACAGAAGCAAUGAGGGACGAAAGGGCUUGAACAAGGUCACCGCGCAGCCAGGACUUCAGGGAUUUCCUCUUUCCCUCUCUUCCUGCCUGACUCAAGCAUGUAUGUCUUUAGGCACGCA
Molecule: small RNA, 513 nt
Filed under: Pan troglodytes (chimpanzee)
Lineage: Eukaryota; Metazoa; Chordata; Mammalia; Primates; Hominidae
Description: processed transcript
Source: RNAcentral